Molecule: ribosomal RNA, 717 nt
Filed under: uncultured bacterium
Lineage: Bacteria
Description: bacterial SSU rRNA
Rfam family: Bacterial small subunit ribosomal RNA
Source: RNAcentral
AACUCAAGUGGCGGACGGGUGAGUAACACGUAAGAAUUUGCCUCUAGGAGGGGGACAACAACUGGAAACGGUUGCUAAUACCCCAUAUGCUUUCGAGUGAAAUGGAUUUUUCCGCCUAGAGAGAAGCUUGCGGCUGAUUAGCUUGUUGGUGAGGUAAUGGCUCACCAAGGCGACGAUCAGUAUCUGGUUUGAGAGGACGAUCAGACACACUGGAACUGAGACACGGUCCAGACUCCUACGGGAGGCAGCAGUGGGGAAUUUUCUGCAAUGGGCGAAAGCCUGACGGAGCAAUCUCGCGUGAGGGAUGACUGCCUAUGGGUUGUAAACCUCUUUUUUCAGGGAGGAAUAAAUGACGUGUACCUGAAGAAUAAGCAUCGGCUAACUCCGUGCCAGCAGCCGCGGUAAGACGGAGGAUGCAAGUGUUAUCCGGAAUCACUGGGCGUAAAGCGUCUGUAGGUGGUUUAAUAAGUCAACUGUUAAAUCUUGAAGCUCAACUUCAAAAUCGCAGUCGAAACUGUUAGACUAGAGUAUAGUAGGGGUAAAGGGAAUUUCCAGUGGAGCGGUGAAAUGCGUAGAGAUUGGAAAGAACACCGAUGGCGAAGGCACUUUACUGGGCUAUUACUGACACUCAGAGACGAAAGCUAGGGUAGCAAAUGGGAUUAGAUACCCCAGUAGUCCUAGCCGUAAACAAUGGAUACUAGAUGUUGAACAGAUCGA